RNAcentral lists this long non-coding RNA (2332 nucleotides) under Citrus x clementina. RNAcentral describes it as "Citrus clementina (C. clementina) long non-coding RNA (CCLE_LNC001301)". The record is from RNAcentral. Lineage: Eukaryota; Viridiplantae; Streptophyta; Magnoliopsida; Sapindales; Rutaceae.
AAACAUUAUUAAAACUUUGAUCUGUGUGCGUGUUUAUGGGAAGAGUGCUGAACAGAAAUUGACUUUUAACGAAGACAGAGGAGCAGAUUUUAGGAUCUUGGUGGUAUUGUUUUGUUAGGAAUUCAAGAAAUAGAAAAAUUGCGCAUGAGCUUGCUUCAUUCAACUAGAAAGGAAAAGUCCCAAAUGUAAAAGCAAAUGCGAAAGGGGAAAAAAAAAUAAAAACACAACUGUGUAAUGAUAAAUUAAAGUGGCAGGUAACUAUCUAGUGUAACUUUAUUUCUGUUUUUAAACUUUGGGGGGAAAAAAAGGGGGGGAAAAAGGUUGAGAGUCGGAUACUUGGAUACUGGCUGGAGCUGGACAAGAGUCAAGACUCCUCUUUAGCCUUGGCUUUGCCCUUGCACUCACAAUCCCACAUCCAUCAAUUUGAAAUGACACCCAUCUCUCUCUCCCCACUCCGCAUCUCGAGCCUUUUUAUACGCUGGAAAAUACAAAGUUUAAUUACCUCUAACGUGGCUGGCAUUGGCAAAUGGCAACGACACAGUACAAAUAAAUAAUCAUAUACACACGUAUUGCUGAAAGAGGCAAUUGAAAGGGAAAAGAGCAAAACUUACUUUUAUGGACUGACAGAGAGAGAGGGGUUGAUGCAGAAACCAGAACUGCACAGGAAAAUCAAAUUAGUCAUCGGAAAAUGAGGGAAAAAGCUUAUAUGUAGGCGACGCCCAUUAUGUAGUCCCUCUCAAAAGAAAUGAUACUAUUACUAUGUAAAUAAUUAACAAUAAUAAAGGAAAGAAUAAUAAUAGGUUUCGUGUAAGCUUUUGCUUUUCAUAUCUUUGGACGCUGUAAAAUGAAAUCCUUCUGUUGCAGCUCCUGCUUUUCACAUUUUUGGCACUUGCAGGUUUCCGAAGCUUUUCCAGAUGCUGCCGCUGCACUGCAUGCAGGAACCUUUUGUUUGUUGCUUUAGUUGUCAUCAUCUUUUAGAUAAAAAACCGUUCAGUGGAGCAAGGGUUGAUUACACAAUAAAUUAACCUAAGUUAAUUACACAUGUUUAAUUGAAAUUAACUAAUACAUAAGCCAUAAAAAUACAAGACUUUGAGAUUUGAUUAUUUUGGCAUUAAUUAGUGAAAAAGAGAUCAUGACAACGACAAUGUUAAAGAAAACGACUCUUGUGGAAAACAAUCCUGCCGUUGGGCGUUGAUAUUUAAUGCCGGCAUUGCUUAAACGAUUGGGAAAAUGUGUGUUUAAUUUGCUAAAUAGAUAUUUAUGCAAAUGGCAGAAUUUUAAUUUUAAUUUUAUUUAUUUAUUCUUGUUAAAAGGUAGGAGAGUGAGACAAAACAUCAUAUCCAUUUUUAGACCCUGUUCCGGUAUUCCUUUAGGAUUUGAAUUUAUAGUAUUUAAUAAACAUUACUCGGCCAAACAUUGAGAAUUGCCAAUGACACAAAUUGUUUACAGGGGUGGUGAAAUUUUAAUUCGCAUUUCUUUAGGCCUCGACUUAAAUUUCUUUUGGUAACAUCAACAUUAUGGAUUAUGGAAUUCUAUAUAAUCUCCCGCAGUCCAAUCUAUGCAACUACUCGCAGACAAAAUAAAAUAUCCGAAAGAAUUCAAGAGCCUAAAGGUAAUGUCUUGAAGAGGUCACGUUCACCAUCAAACUAUUUCAAUAGAUGGAGCCAAUUGAUCACGGAAGAUUUCGUUUUGAGUGGUAAAUUAUUGAGACAGUCCAUAAAUAAUACGUCGGUGUCUUAUAGAGUUCUUUUCUCUGCUCGAUUAUAUAAGAUUAUUAUUAAUAUUUGAGAAUUGAAAGAAAAUUGAAAUUGACUCUCAUAAUAUUUUUAUAGAGACUCGAACCAUUUUUUAUAAAUACUCGAACCCUUAUUCUCACUAUUAUAAAUGCAAAGACUCUCCUACUAGAUCAAAAACCCAUUGAUAAUUGAAAUUCGCUUAUUGAUUGAUGAUUCUUUCUUUUGCUGAAUUGUUAUAGUUAAGGAAAUUUUAAGGACGGGUACACAUAAAUUUUGAAGACUUGUUUGCUUAUCUUUUUGGGUCAAGCUUUAGCUAUAUAUAAUGAACUGAAGCGCAAAUUUCAUAUAGUCCAUAGAUUCGAAUAAGGGGACACUUUCCUAUUCUAUUUGUUUAUCAUUUGAAUUGAAAUUUUAAAAAGGUAUUUUGACUCGUCCACAGGCAAUGAAUUUUGGACCUACUGUACCAACCAAAAAUGCAAAUAAUAUAUACACCCAUCUUUUGCUGCGUACUGUGUACAUUAACUUCUAGGGACUUUCAAAAUAUAGGGCAUUGAUUCAGUAUCAUUGUCCAAAUAGAAAACCAAUAUUAUAAUACA